AGUUUCUGACCUAUCAGCUUUCGACGGUAGGGUAUUGGCCUACCGUGGCAGUGACGGGUAACGGGGAAUUAGGGUUCGAUUCCGGAGAGGGAGCCUGAGAAACGGCUACCACAUCUAAGGAAGGCAGCAGGCGCGCAAAUUACCCAAUGAAAACAGUUUCGAGGUAGUGACGAGAAAUAACAAUACAGGGCAUUUUAUGCUCUGUAAUUGGAAUGAUGGGAAUGUAAAACCCUUUCAGAGUAACAAUUGGAGGGCAAGUCUGGUGCCAGCAGCCGCGGUAAUUCCAGCUCCAAUAGUGUAUAUUAGAGUUGUUGCAGUUAAAAAGCUCGUAGUUGGAUUUCUGUCGUGGUCAUCCGGUACCGCCCGUAUGGGUGAGCACCUGGUUUGCCCUCGGCUUUCUUCCGGUAGCCUUCCGCGCUUCACUGCGUGUGUUGGUGUUCCGGAACUUUUACUUUGAG
Molecule: ribosomal RNA, 458 nt
Filed under: Isospora sp.
Lineage: Eukaryota; Apicomplexa; Conoidasida; Eucoccidiorida; Eimeriidae
Description: SSU rRNA
Rfam family: Eukaryotic small subunit ribosomal RNA
Source: RNAcentral